RNAcentral lists this long non-coding RNA (1024 nucleotides) under Lactuca sativa (garden lettuce). RNAcentral describes it as "long non-coding RNA (LSAT_LNC004888)". Lineage: Eukaryota; Viridiplantae; Streptophyta; Magnoliopsida; Asterales; Asteraceae. The record is from RNAcentral.
CUGCCUGAGGUGAACACAAAGUAAUUGAAGGUAAUUAGAUGUGUUAAACAACAAAUUGCUAAUCUGAAUAAUAUUUCAAAAAAUGAUUCCUUUGUACAUUUUGCAGGUUUUGUGUAUCGGAGGAGUGAAGCUGCAUAAAGGAAGAUUUGUCUAUUUCUAGUCAUUCAGUAAUUAGGAGUUUAACUACUAUUUUUGUAAUUUGAGUUUUUACUCUUUAUGUUUUUAUAAAUGGUUAUAUUUUAGACAUUAAAUCAAUGCAAAUGGAGAAUCUAUGAAUGUAUGUUUUGAAGUUAGAAUUUGGAUUAUUCCCUUGAAUAUAUGAUAAAAAAAUUAAACGAGCCCAAAAACCAUAAACGAGCUUGAGUCGAGCCUAAGCUCAUUUAGGCUCGCGUGACAAACAAAACGAGCCGAGCUUGAGCCGAGCUCGAGCUUCUUCUUUUUCCUACGAGCCGAGCACGAGCUUUGAAAUUGGGCUCGAAACGAGCCGAGCUCGAGCUCGAGCCAACAUACAUUUAUACGAGUUCGAGCCGAGCUUAGGAAUGUUCGGGCUCGGCUCGGCUCAUUUACACCCCUACGCGUGGCCCUUUCCUUCAUCUUCUCUACUCUCUCCACCUCCUCACGUGCCCGCUCCCACAUGUGCCUCGCACGUGCGAAUUCCGACUGCGCCAUCUCUAUUUCCCGCCGUGUCAUCUCCUUCACGCGCUCCGCGUAUGCCUUCUCCAUGGCGGCGCUAUGAAUUUGUUCCGCCACUCGCCAUUUUACCGUCUCCACCGCAAACGGCGGCUUAAUUGGCCGGAGACUGAUGGACAGUUGGAGGUCCAGGGAAGGUCCUCCACCUGCACCACCACCAUCCAAGGAACGUUGGAGGUCGUCUGAUCGGAAAGCCAUGAGAUCCGAUGGCCAUGGUGAGGCACAUGAGUAGGAGGGUGUGGCAUAAGGCAUACUUAUAGGGAGGAGUUGUAAUUCCUUCUCAUUAUCUUCCAUUGUGGCAAAGAGAAGCACUGCUAUACGGCUUUAUAUAAAC